GAGUUUGAUCGUGGCUCAGGAUGAACGCCGGCGGUGUGCCUAAUACAUGCAAGUCGUACGCACUGGCCCAACUGAUUGAUGGUGCUUGCACCUGAUUGACGAUGGAUCACCAGUGAGUGGCGGACGGGUGAGUAACACGUAGGUAACCUGCCCCGGAGCGGGGAUAACAUUUGGAAACAGAUGCUAAUACCGCAUAACAACAAAGGCCACAUGGCUUUUGUUUGAAAGAUGGCUUUGGCCAUCACUCUGGGAUGGACCUGCGGUGCAUUAGCUAGUUGGUAAGGUAACGGCUUACCAAGGCGAUGAUGCAUAGCCGAGUUGAGAGACUGAUCGGCCACAAUGGAACUGAGACACGGUCCAUACUCCUACGGGAGGCAGCAGUAGGAAUCUUCACAAUGGCGCAAGCCUGAUGGAGCAACACCGCGUGAGUGAAGAAGGGUUUCGGCUCGUAAAGCUCUGUUGUUGGAG
RNAcentral lists this ribosomal RNA (468 nucleotides) under uncultured microorganism. RNAcentral describes it as "bacterial SSU rRNA". It matches the Rfam family "Bacterial small subunit ribosomal RNA", at positions 9 to 444 of the family's 1533-position model. The record is from RNAcentral.